UCCAGGUAUGAAUUUUUAUGAAAAUAGCUCCAUCAACUUUCCCUAUGUGGACACAAGUUCUGCUGUCAAUUUCCCUGCAGUAGAGAAAGUCCCACAGUCAACUGCAGACAAGAAGGCUACCUUUUCCUUUAAGACCAUAAAGGAUUUCUGUCACAGAGUAAAAACCUGAAGGGCCUUAGAAAGGAGACACCUACGGAGUGCUGUUAAGCAACUAAUUCUACAUAUUAUCAGUAUGGCACAUGGAAGAAAGUAGCCAGCAGAGUGUUGUCAUCAAUGACCUCUGGACUCUUGAUUUAAGGAAAGAUUUAAACACAUAAUCUAUAAAUUCAAGGGCUUACAUGCAGCAAGAGCCCAUGCAUACAUCACUGGAUUUCUGAGACGGGCUGUUUGCAAAUUUGACAUUUGGAGGCUGUCUAAAAAGUGGCAUGAAGUUAUAUUUUCUAGAGUGACUACAGAUUUCAAAAAUGAGCAAGCAACACGGGUCAGUAGAAACUGGCCAAACGAAGCUUUUGUGGUACUCCAACAGAGAGUUCAAAGGAUGGAUACAUGGAUGGUGAUUUCAUUAAAGAAAAAGAGAUGACACUCGAAGCACUUUCCGAGAAUAAAACACAGUGGCUGCAGAGAAGAGGAGGAAUCAGGUGCGACUCAGACCUGCUAGACCACGCUUCACUGAUGGCUACAAUCAGAGAAAAGUGGCAGCUAGAAAAGACUGGUGGAGCAUUUCUAGCCUUACCCAAAAGAUUCUUUGACAUGCAAAACCAAAGACUGUAGGAGCUGCCCUUUACCUUCCAAAUCUUAAAGAAAGUACAUUAUUAAAUUAGUGUACAAAGUUGCUAAUUAGGUAGCUAUCACGGCGUGUUUUUUAUUCAAUCUACUGCUUAAUUGUCCUUUACCUAUUCCCAUUUUCUCCUUCUCCCUGAUCUCCUGUUCUUCCUCAAUAGUUCCCUCAUCAGCAGACGACUGCAUGUUACUUGUACUGUAUUAAUUUCUUGUUUCCCUAUCCUCUCUCUAAAGACCACUUUUCUCAUUUCUAUGUGCAUAACAUACGUACACACAUAUGUGUGUGCAUGUGCACACACACAAUAUACAUGCACAUAUAAAUAUAGAUUUGUCAUAC
Molecule: small RNA, 1117 nt
Filed under: Rattus norvegicus (Norway rat)
Lineage: Eukaryota; Metazoa; Chordata; Mammalia; Rodentia; Muridae
Description: uncharacterized LOC102546782
Source: RNAcentral